Molecule: ribosomal RNA, 495 nt
Filed under: uncultured bacterium
Lineage: Bacteria
Description: partial 16S ribosomal RNA
Rfam family: Bacterial small subunit ribosomal RNA
Source: RNAcentral
GACGAACGCUGGCGGCGUGCCUAAUACAUGCAAGUAGAACGCUGAAGGAGGAGCUUGCUCUUCUGGAUGAGUUGCGAACGGGCGAGUAACGCGUAGGUAACCUGCCUGGUAGCGGGGGAUAACUAUUGGAAACGAUAGCUAAUACCGCAUAACAGUAGAUGUUGCAUGACAUUUGCUUAAAAGGUGCAAUUGCACCACUACCAGAUGGACCUGCGUUGUAUUAGCUAGUUGGUGGGGUAACGGCUCACCAAGGCGACGAUACAUAGCCGACCUGAGAGGGUGAUCGGCCACACUGGGACUGAGACACGGCCCAGACUCCUACGGGAGGCAGCAGUAGGGAAUCUUCGGCAAUGGACGGAAGUCUGACCGAGCAACGCCGCGUGAGUGAAGAAGGUUUUCGGAUCGUAAAGCUCUGUUGUAAGAGAAGAACGAGUGUGAGAGUGGAAAGUUCACACUGUGACGGUAUCUUACCAGAAAGGGACGGCUAACUACGUG